Molecule: long non-coding RNA, 221 nt
Filed under: Carica papaya (papaya)
Lineage: Eukaryota; Viridiplantae; Streptophyta; Magnoliopsida; Brassicales; Caricaceae
Description: long non-coding RNA (CPAP_LNC014620)
Source: RNAcentral
GUAUAGUCGAAGGCUUGGCUACAGUGGUAACUCAACAUGUAGUCCAUAACGAAAGUAGUACAAACGGUAAUAAUGCUAGAAGCAGUAAAACUCAGCCGAUGGAGGAAAAUAAUGGAAAACUCAUUGAAAGAUUUAAGAAAAUGAACCCACUGUCAUUCGCUGGAGCAACUGACCCAAUAUUAGCCGAACAGUGGAUCAUGGAGUUAAAGAAGAUAUUUGGU